RNAcentral lists this transfer RNA (72 nucleotides) under Heterocephalus glaber (naked mole-rat). It matches the Rfam family "tRNA". Rfam says of the family: Transfer RNA (tRNA) molecules are approximately 80 nucleotides in length. Their secondary structure includes four short double-helical elements and three loops (D, anti-codon, and T loops). Lineage: Eukaryota; Metazoa; Chordata; Mammalia; Rodentia; Bathyergidae. The record is from Rfam by way of RNAcentral.
GGGGGUGUAGCUCAGUGGUAGAGCACUUGCCUAGCAUGGGCAACGUCUUGGGUUCCAUUCCUAGCACCACAA